UACGUAGGUGGCAAGCGUUGUCCGGAUUUACUGGGCGUAAAGAGCGCGCAGGCGGUCGUUCAAGUCGCGUGUGAAAGCCCCCGGCUCAACUGGGGAGGGUCACGCGAUACUGAUCGACUCGAAGGCAGGAGAGGGUAGUGGAAUUCCCGGUGUAGUGGUGAAAUGCGUAGAUAUCGGAAGGAACACCGGUGGCGAAAGCGGCGUACUGGGGCUUAACUGACGCUGAGGCACGAAAGCCAGGGGAGCGAACGGG
Molecule: ribosomal RNA, 253 nt
Filed under: uncultured bacterium
Lineage: Bacteria
Description: partial 16S ribosomal RNA
Rfam family: Bacterial small subunit ribosomal RNA
Source: RNAcentral